ACUCCUACGGGAGGCAGCAGUGGGGAAUAUUGCACAAUGGGCGCAGGCCUGAUGCAGCAACGCCGCGUGAGGGACGACGGCCUUCGGGUUGUAAACCUCUUUUAGUAGGGAAGAAGCGAAAGUGACGGUACCUGCAGAAAAAGCACCGGCUAACUACGUGCCAGCAGCCGCGGUAAUACGUAGGGUGCAAGCGUUAUCCGGAAUUAUUGGGCGUAAAGAGCUCGUAGGCGGUCUGUCGCGUCUGCUGUGAAAACUGGGGGCUCAACCCCCAGCCUGCAGUGGGUACGGGCAGACUAGAGUGCGGUAGGGGAGAUUGGAAUUCCUGGUGUAGCGGUGGAAUGCGCAGAUAUCAGGAGGAACACCGAUGGCGAAGGCAGAUCUCUGGGCCGUAACUGACGCUGAGGAGCGAAAGCAUGGGGAGCGAACAGGAUUAGAUACCCUGGUAGUCCAUGCCGUAAACGUUGGGAACUAGAUGUAGGGACCAUUCCACGGUUUCUGUGUCGCAGCUAACGCAUUAAGUUCCCCGCCUGGGGAGUACGGCCGCAAGGCUAAAACUCAAAGGAAUUGACGGGGGCCCGCACAAGCGGCGGAGCAUGCGGAUUAAUUCGAUGCAACGCGAAGAACCUUACCAAGGCUUGACAUAUAGAGGAAAAGGCUAGAAAUAGUCUCCCCGCAAGGUCUCUAUACAGGUGGUGCAUGGUUGUCGUCAGCUCGUGUCGUGAGAUGUUGGGUUAAGUCCCGCAACGAGCGCAACCCUCGUUCUAUGUUGCCAGCACGUAAUGGUGGGAACUCAUAGGAGACUGCCGGGGUCAACUCGGA
This 819-nucleotide ribosomal RNA is filed under the name uncultured Actinomycetes bacterium. RNAcentral's name for it is "bacterial SSU rRNA". It matches the Rfam family "Bacterial small subunit ribosomal RNA", at positions 335 to 1167 of the family's 1533-position model. The record is from RNAcentral. Lineage: Bacteria; Bacillati; Actinomycetota; Actinomycetes.